CCUACGGGCGGCUGCAGUGAGGAAUAUUGGUCAAUGGACGAAAGUCUGAACCAGCCAAGUAGCGUGAAGGAUGACUGCCCUAUGGGUUGUAAACUUCUUUUAUAUGGGAAUAAAAUGUUCCACGUGUGGGAUUUUGUAUGUACCAUAUGAAUAAGGAUCGGCUAACUCCGUGCCAGCAGCCGCGGUAAUACGGAGGAUCCGAGCGUUAUCCGGAUGUAUUGGGUUUAAAGGGAGCGUAGGUGGAAGGGUAAGUCAGUUGUGAAAGGUUGCGGCUCAACCGGAGAAUUGCAGUUGAAACUGGAAGGCUUGAGUACAGUAGAGGUGGGUGGAAUUCGUGGUGUAGCGGUGAAAUGCGUAGAUAUGACGAAGAACUCCGAUGGCGAAGGCAGCUCACUGGACUGCAACUGACACUGAGGCUCGAAAGUGUGGGUAUCAAACAGGAUUAGAUACCCCGGUAGUC
RNAcentral lists this ribosomal RNA (460 nucleotides) under uncultured bacterium. RNAcentral's name for it is "partial 16S ribosomal RNA". It matches the Rfam family "Bacterial small subunit ribosomal RNA", at positions 338 to 795 of the family's 1533-position model. The record is from RNAcentral.